This 509-nucleotide ribosomal RNA is filed under the name uncultured bacterium. RNAcentral's name for it is "bacterial SSU rRNA". It matches the Rfam family "Bacterial small subunit ribosomal RNA", at positions 57 to 559 of the family's 1533-position model. The record is from RNAcentral.
GCAAGUACGAGACGAGAAGACGUAGACAAUACGUUUGUAAAGCGGCGAACGGGUGAGGAAUACAUGGGUAACCUACCCUCGAGUGGGGAAUAACUAACCGAAGGUUAGCUAAUACCGCAUACGACUCCUGGUCUGCGGAUCGGGAGGGAAAGCGAUACCGUGGGUAUCGCGCUCUUGGAUGGGCUCAUGUCCUAUCAGCUUGUUGGUGAGGUAACGGCUCACCAAGGCUUCGACGGGUAGCUGGUCUGAGAGGACGAUCAGCCACACUGGCACUGCGACACGGGCCAGACUCCUACGGGAGGCAGCAGUAAGGAAUAUUGCGCAAUGGGCGACAGCCUGACGCAGCGACGCCGCGUGGGGAUGAAGGUCUUCGGAUUGUAAACCCCUUUCGGCAGGGAAGAUGGAACGGGUAACCGUUCGGACGGUACCUGCAGAAGCAGCCACGGCUAACUUCGUGCCAGCAGCCGCGGUAAUACGAAGGUGGCAAGCGUUGUUCGGAUUUACUGGGC